This 556-nucleotide ribosomal RNA is filed under the name uncultured Glomus. Its description in RNAcentral is "SSU rRNA". It matches the Rfam family "Eukaryotic small subunit ribosomal RNA", at positions 548 to 1103 of the family's 1831-position model. Lineage: Eukaryota; Fungi; Glomeromycota; Glomeromycetes; Glomerales; Glomeraceae. The record is from RNAcentral.
UUGGAGGGCAAGUCUGGUGCCAGCAGCCGCGGUAAUUCCAGCUCCAAUAGCGUAUAUUAAAGUUGUUGCAGUUAAAAAGCUCGUAGUUGAACUUCGGGGUCUACCCAUUGGUCAGGCUUAAUUGUCUGCACUGGUGAGAUGGAUCUCUACCUUCUGAGGAACUUUCAUGCCAUUUAUUUGGUGUGGUUGGAAAUCAGGACUGUUACUUUGAAAAAAUUAGAGUGUUUAAAGCAGACUAUCGUCUGAAUACAUUAGCAUGGAAUAGUGAAAUAGGGCGGACUGAUUCUAUUUCGUUGGUUUCUAGGAUCACCGUAAUGAUUAAUAGGGAUAGUUGGGGGCAUUAGUAUUCAAUUGUCAGAGGUGAAAUUCUUGGAUUUAUUGAAGACUAACUACUGCGAAAGCAUUUGCCAAGGAUGUUUUCAUUAAUCAAGAACGAAAGUUAGGGGAUCGAAGACGAUCAGAUACCGUCGUAGUCUUAACCAUAAACUAUGCCGACUAGGGAUCGGACGAAGUUAAUUUUAUAAUGACGCGUUCGGCACCUUACGGGAAACCAAAG